This 379-nucleotide ribosomal RNA is filed under the name uncultured bacterium. RNAcentral's name for it is "bacterial SSU rRNA". It matches the Rfam family "Bacterial small subunit ribosomal RNA", at positions 521 to 896 of the family's 1533-position model. The record is from RNAcentral.
UAAUACGUAGGGUCCGAGCGUUGUCCGGAUUUAUUGGGCGUAAAGAGCUCGUAGGCGGCUCAGUUAGUCGGAUGUGAAAACUCGGGGCUCAACCCCGAGACGCCAUCCGAUACUGCUGUGGCUCGAAUCUGGUAGGGGAGCACGGAAUUCCUGGUGUAGCGGUGAAAUGCGCAGAUAUCAGGAGGAACACCGGCGGCGAAGGCGGUGCUCUGGGCCAGUAUUGACGCUGAGGAGCGAAAGCGUGGGUAGCAAACAGGAUUAGAUACCCUGGUAGUCCACGCCGUAAACGUUGGGCACUAGGUGUGGGUCCCUAUCGACGGGAUCCGUGCCGUAGCUAACGCAUUAAGUGCCCCGCCUGGGGAGUACGGCCGCAAGGCUA